Molecule: ribosomal RNA, 418 nt
Filed under: Aeromonas salmonicida
Lineage: Bacteria; Pseudomonadati; Pseudomonadota; Gammaproteobacteria; Aeromonadales; Aeromonadaceae
Description: bacterial SSU rRNA
Rfam family: Bacterial small subunit ribosomal RNA
Source: RNAcentral
ACUGGAACUGAGACACGGUCCAGACUCCUACGGGAGGCAGCAGUGGGGAAUAUUGCACAAUGGGGGAAACCCUGAUGCAGCCAUGCCGCGUGUGUGAAGAAGGCCUUCGGGUUGUAAAGCACUUUCAGCGAGGAGGAAAGGUUGGCGCCUAAUACGUGCCAACUGUGACGUUACUCGCAGAAGAAGCACCGGCUAACUCCGUGCCAGCAGCCGCGGUAAUACGGAGGGUGCAAGCGUUAAUCGGAAUUACUGGGCGUAAAGCGCACGCAGGCGGUUGGAUAAGUUAGAUGUGAAAGCCCCGGGCUCAACCUGGGAAUUGCAUUUAAAACUGUCCAACUAGAGUCUUGUAGAGGGGGGUAGAAUUCCAGGUGUAGCGGUGAAAUGCGUAGAGAUCUGGAGGAAUACCGGUGGCGAAGGC